Astatotilapia calliptera (eastern happy) is the source of this 3831-nucleotide long non-coding RNA. The record is from Ensembl. NCBI's taxonomy places the organism in Eukaryota, Metazoa, Chordata, Actinopteri, Cichliformes, Cichlidae.
GAUGAAAACGCGUAGUGCGCACGCACUCCCACACGUCCCUGUUUCAUCAUCAGCUGAGCUCUUUCUCCUCCACUCACAGCUCUUCUCCCCUUCCUCUCUUACCCCCUCCCCUCUCUCUCUCUCUCUUUGCUCUUGCUUCUUUUUCUAUCCAUCGCUCUCCUCCUCCUCCUCUCUCCCUGGGUCCCGGCCACAUGCGAAAGGGUAGACUAGGACGCUGCAGCUCUGAAAAAAAAGAGGGGAAAAACGCUCUGCUGCUAUUUCUACAGGCAGGCCCUCCCCUUUAGCUAGUCUGUGCCAAAAGAGGGAGGGAUUUUUUACUACUCCCAGUCCCAGGAUUUUAACCCUCUGCCUGCUCUCACUUCUCCCUGCAAGAUCUGUUCCUCAAUAUCAUGCAACAAGUGGCUUUGCUUUACUCCUACUUCGACAUUGCUGCGCCAUUUGCAAGGGCAUUUUUCAGAUCCUUGUUUUCACGCGCUUUUAGUUUUAUCACGUUUUUGCCUCGCCUGGGUUGUUGCUAGUAGAGAUAAACUGGACCUGGGAGUUUUGCGCCGUGCCAUAGCGUUGGUGCAAAGGUUUUUUUUUUUUUUUUCCUUCAGCACGUUUCUUGAUUGCUCAACAUGUCAGAUUUUUUUUUCCUGGAUGAAUCUGAGUAUGAAGGCUGCAGUUUGUUUUGUGUGCUGUUCGAUUUCAUGUGUCUCGCGCAUGGAUCUUAAAUUGAAUUCCUUAUUGUUUUCCUGUGCUCUUAUCUGCUUUGCCCUCUACCUUCCUAACCCUUUCCAUCUCUAAACCUGUCCCUCUUUUUUGGUUUUUUUCUGCCCCACCCUCUCUUCCUCACGUUCUCUCUCUCUCGCUCUCUCUCGAUCUCGUGGGCAGUCUCCAGUGAAAGGAGAGCAGGAGGGCGGAGCAGCAGCGGGGCUUUUUCUGGGACAGGUGCCAAUUCCAAACAAAAGGCACAAAAAACAAAAAAAAAAGAAAAAAGAGUGUGAUAGAUCCCAACGACAGAGGGAAAAGUGGUGUAUUUAAAGAACUGAUUUGUAGUAAUUAGAUGUGUGUGCAUGUGUAACUAUUCUUCUCUUGCAGGUUUUUUUUUAUUGCAUGAGUGAAUAGCAGCAGAGAUCUUGAAUUCUCUCUUUCCCCCCUCUCUCGGCUCUCUUGCUCCCGUGAAGGCAUUUGAGUUUCGAGCGGGGAAAAGAAGGAGGGGUGGGUGGAGUUGGGAAGGGGCACAGGGAGGUGGAGCCUUGUCUCCUCUCCUCCCUGCCGAGUUUUCUGCAUUAUUCAUAUGCCCGGGCCAGCGCUGCGAUCUGACUGGCUGCCUGGCUUAGCAUUCAUCCGACAUUCAGCAGCUCUGUUUGCUAACAUUCCUCAUUCAAAGCCUUGUUAACUGCCAGACGGGAGGAACACGCGACUCCAUGGGAAACCCACAUGGCCUCUCCAUUGUGGCGGCCCUGACAGUCUCAGACAAGGAGCUGGCAGACAGGGGAGAGCGAGAGGAGCUGAGAGGAUAUGUGGACAUACUGUGUGCAGCCGCGGAUGGGUCCAGCACAGCCGCUUCAUCCAGGAUAGCUCAUUGCUGUGGUGUGGGACAGUUACUUCAAAGUCUCAGUGGAGUCAUUACUUGGGAGUGACUUUAUUUUUCCGUGCCAGACAUUGAUAUCAAGCAUCGAGACGAGGAAACCUGAGAGGAGGCGAGUUGACAGACCGCACAGACCUGCUCAGGGAAGAUGACCUGCCAAGCUCAAGUGACAUGCAGAGGAAGUGUUUUGAGUGUAUUUUGUUUUGUUUUUUAAUUACCACACAUUUCGCAUAUUAAGCCUCUCCUUUAAAUGUAUAAAAAAAAAAAUAAGGAACCUCAUGAUCAGCUGGGGCCUUUCUGCAUGGAUGUCCUCCAUGUGCCUGUGUGGGUUUUUCUGGGUACUUUCCUCCCACAGUGCAUCUUAAGUUGGGUAAAUAGUGAUUAUAAAUGUGUCUGUGGAUGUGAUUGUGAGAUGUUGUUGUGUGUCUGCGUGUGUUAAACCUCUGAUAGAUUGGCAGCUGGGUCAGGAUUUAACAAGUUUAGAAAAAAAACAAACGGAUUGAACAAAACAGAAAUAAAUAUAUGUUUCAUUUCUUAAAAUGUAAAACAAGCACUUUUUUGGACAUGCAGUGUUUUAUCUGUGAAUUAAGUAAGUUUAAGUGCUGCUUCAUGAUGAUGUUUUGCUAAGACUACAGAACUGGCUUUAUUUAAAAUUUUAAACAUUUAAUUACGUUACCGUUUUCACAUGACAUUGAAUAUAGCUGCCUACAUUACACACAGUACAAUACACUAACAGUACAAGCACACAGAAGUUCAGCUUUGACCUUUGGAACGAUGACAAAAUCAACUUUAUGAAGAUCCACCUGUUUUUUCUGCCUUUAAUUGGAUGCUAUGGUUUUUAUCGGCACAUUUGUGAUGCUGUUGUUUUAUUACAUUGAAUUGUGGUUGAAUUUUACACACUUAACUCCACCCAUUACAGCUUAUCUGUAGUUAGUUUUUUUUUUUUUUAAAGUAUUGUCCUAAUUUCACAAAGGUCAGUUGUCGUUGAGUUUCUGUUCCCACAGGUCGACUGGGUGCGACUGGAGAGCCGUGCGAGAGUUAAACUGUCCUUUGGGGUGAGGUAGUAGGUUGUAUAGUUUUAGGGUCAUUCCCAAGCUGUCAGAUGACUAUACAACUUACUGUCUUUCCUGAAGCGGCUGUAAUAACAUCAUCUUCAUCAUCGUACCCACAAGAGGAUAAGAAGCAUGACUUUUGAAUUUGGACUCGUUUGUUUGUUUAACCUAAAAUAAUAUGCAGAUUUUUGUGGGAAAUUGUUCUCUUUUUAUUGAUGCCUGUUGUUGUUGUUGUUUUUUAUUAUUUUUUAAAAAAAGGUAAGUUCUGCUAGUCUGAAGUUGUAACCAGUGAAGCUUGUUCUCACAGCGUGUAGUAAAUUUAGCGAAGUAAUGUGAAAUCUAGCCACUUUUACUUUUGCAGCUUUUUCAUGUAACUUUUCCUGCAAGUGCAUCCUUUUAUGUGCAGCAUGUAACAUUUCAACUGACAUUAUCAUGGCAAUCCUCAUUGCAAUAAUAAAUAACAAAGUUGCUUUCAGUUUCAUUUAUGCAGCGAUGCGGCUCGCGCACAAAUCCUCUCCGUACCCGCCUGGGUGCUUUAUGAUGUUCGUACAGGGUGAGGUAGUAGGUUGUGUGGUUUCAGGGUUGUGAUUUUACCCCAUCAGGAGCUAACUAUACAACCUACUGCCUUCCCUGGAGGGCAGCAAUACAUCACAGGAGCGCGCGCAUCUUUGUCAUUUUCCCUGCCUCUGAAAAAUGGGACAGUCUCUUUUACAAAGGCCCACAAAAGACUGCCAUUCGAUCUCAAGGGUUCACGUGUAUGGGUGAGUGGCGCUCACUCACACGACGCAUUUCAGAGAGACAAUCACUUUACACAUUUGUAACUCACACUGGGAAGAUGGCAUAAAAAAGGCAUUUAUUUAAUUUUAUUAGCAUUCAUGUUUUAAUACUGCUUGUACUUUUCCCCCAGUAAUUAAAUAAAGACUGGACAAGAAAUAAUUGCUGAGCAAAUAAUGGCUGAAGUCUGAUCUUUGUGCUGAUAACAACUGUGCAACAGUAGAGUCUCCCUAGAUGGGAUAUUUUCUUCGAAAUGCUGCUUUAGUCUCUAAUCCCUUUAAGGAGCUCAUAAUGCCCUGAAAUUCUAAUCCCCAAAGCCUCUGUGUCUGAGGAACAUGUAUCUUUUUAUCUGUCUAGAAAAGUCUCCUAAAAAGCAUGCAUCAUUUCUCUUUUGUUCUUUAAAACAAAAAUCAAUUGCAUGGGAUUUCUUCC